Molecule: ribosomal RNA, 2649 nt
Filed under: Triticum aestivum (bread wheat)
Lineage: Eukaryota; Viridiplantae; Streptophyta; Magnoliopsida; Poales; Poaceae
Description: partial small subunit ribosomal RNA
Source: RNAcentral
AUGUUUUCCUGGGCGAUCUUCGUACUGCAGGUUCAGCUAAUGGAUAUCACUGAGGUUCUGCUAGCUACGCAGUCCCAUGAUGGUCAGAUACGAAAUGUUGCAGAAGGGAAUAUCAAGCAAUUUGAGGAACAGAGUUUACCACAGUUCCUACAAGCAUUAUCUGCUGAGCUAUCGAAUGAUAACAAACCUCCUGUAUCUCGAAGGCUUGCUGGUAUUCUUCUCAAAAAUUCUUUGGAUGCAAAUGAUUUAGUGAGGAAAGAAAAAUGCACACAACGAUGGAUAAGUGUUGACCCUGCAAUCAAGUCACAGGUUAAAGGUUCCCUGUUGAUGACCCUUGGAUCACCAGUAUCUGACGCUCACCGCAGUUCUUCACAAGUCAUUGCGAAGAUUGCUUCCAUUGAGAUCCCUCUUCAAGGAUGGCCAGAACUCAUAGUAAGCUUGCUAGGUAACAUGACAAAGCCAGAUGCAUCUCCUUCUCUGAAGCAGGCUACCCUGGAUGCCAUUGGAUAUGUCUGUGAGGAGAUAUCCCCUAAGGAUCUGGAGCAGGAUCAAGUUAAUGCUGUUCUUACUGCUGUGGUCCAGGGUAUGAAUCACGUGGAGAAUAGUUCAGGGGUCCGACUUGCUGCUGUUAAAGCAUUGUAUAAUGCUCUUGAUUUUGCUGAGACAAAUUUUCAGAAUGAAUCAGAGAGGAACUACAUAAUGAAGGUAGUUUGUGAGACUGCCAUUUCUAAAGAGGCUGAUAUCAGGAAGGCUGCAUUUGAGUGUUUGGUCUCCAUUGCAUCAACAUACUAUGAUCUUCUAGAGCCCUACAUGCAGACAUUAUUUGAGUUGACAGCAAAUGCUGCCAGGGCAGAUGAAGAACAGGUAGCACUUCAAGCUAUUGAGUUCUGGAGCACAAUCUGUGAUGAAGAAGUUGCAAUUCAAGAAGACGCUGAAGAAUCUGGUGAUGUUAGUCCUGAAUGUCAUUUCCAUUUUAUUGAAAAGGCCCUUCCUUUGCUUGUCCCUAUGCUUUUAGAAACACUUCUGAAGCAAGAGGAGGAUCAGGAUGAAGAUGAUGGAAUCUGGAAUAUAUCAAUGGCGGGGGGCACCUGCCUUGGGCUUGUUGCAACGACUGUCAAGGAUGCCAUUGUACCUCUUGUGAUGCCAUUUAUAGAAGGCAAUAUAACAAAGCCUGACUGGCACAGCAGGGAGGCUGCUACAUUUGCAUUUGGUUCCAUUCUUGAAGGUCCUUCAGUUGAAAAGCUUGCACCACUGGUUCAUGCUGGCUUUGAUUUCCUGCUAAAUGCAACCAAGGAUCAAAAUAACCAUGUCAGGGAGACUACUGCAUGGGCACUUUCGAGGGCAUUUGAGUUUCUACAUUCACCAACCAGUGGCGUUUCUGUAGUGACAAAUGCAAACCUUCCUCAUGUUAUAGAAAUCAUGUUAACAAGCAUCAAAGACUCCCCUAAUGUUGCUGAGAAGAUCUGUGGUGCCCUGUAUUUUCUUGCUCACGGCUAUGAGAAUGCAGGGUCUAUGUCAUCAGUGCUGUCACUCUACUUUGGUCAAUUAGUAUCAGCUCUCCUUGCCACUGCUGAUCGUUCUGAUUCCAACAACUCCAGGCUUUGUGCAUCUGCAUAUGAAACACUUAAUGAGAUUGUGAGAUGCAGCAGCAUUGCAGACACUCUGAACAUGAUUGUGUUAUUAUUGCAAGAGAUCUUGAAGAGAUUAAACCAGACCUUUGAGUUUCAGAUCACAUCCUCUGAGGACAAGGAAAAGCAAAGUGAUCUUCAAGCCUUGCUGUGUGGUGUUGUUCAAGUAAUCCUUCAGAAGUUCAGCAACUGUGAUGAUAAGUCAGUAAUCAUUCAGUUUGCUGACCAAAUAAUGGUGUUAUUUCUCCGGGUUUUUUCAUGCGAUUGUUCUAAUGUGCAUGAAGAAGCAAUGCUUGCUAUUGGUGCUCUUGCUUAUGCUACUGGACCGGAAUUUGUGAAAUACAUGCCAGAGUUUCACAAGUACCUUGAAAUGGGCUUACAAAAUUUUGGUGCAUAUCAAGUAUGCUGUGUUUCUGUGGGUGUGGUUGCGGACAUCUGUCGUGCCCUGGAUGACAAGGUACUCCCUUACUGUGAUGCUAUCAUGUCCGCCCUUCUCAAGGACCUUUCAAGCCCAGAGCUUCACCGUUCCGUGAAACCGCCAAUUUUGUCAUGCAUAGGAGAUAUUGCACUUACAAUUGGUGAGCAUUUUGAGAAAUAUGUUCCAUACACUGUGCCUAUGUUGCAAGGAGCUGCAGAGCUUUGUUCUCGCAUGGACCUUCCUGAUGAUGACAGUACAGAGUAUAAAAAUGAACUCAGGCGAAGCAUCUUCGAGGCCUAUUCAGGUAUACUUCAGGGAGUCAAAAAUUCAAAAUCAGAGCUAAUGGUUCCUUAUGCCAGCCAUAUUUUCCAGUUCGCCGAACUAGUCCUCCGAGAGACAUCAAGGGAUGAGGGUCUGACGAAAGCUGGAGUUGCCUUGGUCGGGGACCUGGCGGAUGCGCUAGGACCUUCCAUCAAACUGCUGCUCAAGAAUUCCAACUUCCACUCGGAGCUCCUUGGGCGGUGCUCCCAGUCUGAUGACGAACAGCUAAGGGAGACUGCAUCCUGGGUCCAGGGUGUGAUCUCACGUGUGCUGGUUUCAUGA